This is a long non-coding RNA of Saccostrea cuccullata (small rock oyster), 363 nucleotides long. RefSeq lists it as uncharacterized. Lineage: Eukaryota; Metazoa; Mollusca; Bivalvia; Ostreida; Ostreidae. The record is from RefSeq and is a predicted model, not a curated record. The transcript has 3 exons.
GUAGAACCUCUACCUCGCUAUAUUCACAAGUUUCAUGCCCCAGUGACCACGCCAUGCUUGGCGCGUGUUUUUGACCACGUGAACUGGUAAUCACUCAGAUAUAGAGACUUGGCGAGUAUUGACAUAUUUUCCUGGCGAUUUAUUGAGACUUUGAGAUUUCUUCUGAUUUUGCUGUUCUAUGAACGGAUCUUUCGAUUCUUCAGCAGCUCAGCAGAUGGACGACGCAGAUAUGGCUGACCUUGAUGCCCCAGCUGAGGACAUCUGGAGUGAUGAUGGAGACCCAUUUGAGGAGAGGUUUCGAUUGCUGCGUGAAGAAGUGCAGGCGCUCAGAUCUUUCGGACUAGAGCUCCAGGAGGAGCUGCG